This 231-nucleotide long non-coding RNA is filed under the name Homo sapiens (human). RNAcentral's name for it is "HSALNT0141311". Lineage: Eukaryota; Metazoa; Chordata; Mammalia; Primates; Hominidae. The record is from RNAcentral.
CACUCUGUUUCUUAAACACUGGAUGAAAAUAGGAUUUACAUCACUGAGUACUCAUGCUGAGAAACAAGACCACAGGCUAUGCAGCCAUUAUUUCAAGUGCUUAUCUUAUGUUAGAGAUACAACCUCUGCAUUUAUUGAGAAGAAAGUGGAGUCUGACAGUAACUGCUACAAAGUUUUCACCAAGAGCCCUGACAGCUGUCCUUCAAACAUUCCUAACAACCCUUAUGAUCA